CACGGAGGGAGCUAGCGUUGUUCGGAAUUACUGGGCGUAAAGCGCGCGUAGGCGGCUUUGUAAGUUAGAGGUGAAAGCCCGGGGCUCAACCCCGGAACUGCCUUUAAGACUGCAUCGCUUGAAUCCAGGAGAGGUGAGUGGAACUGCGAGUGUAGAGGUGAAAUUCGUAGAUAUUCGCAAGAACACCAGUGGCGAAGGCGGCUCACUGGCCCGAUACUGACGCUGAGGCACGAAAGCGUGGGGAGCAAACAGG
This 253-nucleotide ribosomal RNA is filed under the name uncultured bacterium. RNAcentral's name for it is "partial 16S ribosomal RNA". It matches the Rfam family "Bacterial small subunit ribosomal RNA", at positions 524 to 776 of the family's 1533-position model. The record is from RNAcentral.